Molecule: microRNA, 23 nt
Filed under: Homo sapiens (human)
Lineage: Eukaryota; Metazoa; Chordata; Mammalia; Primates; Hominidae
Description: hsa-miR-3929
Source: miRBase by way of RNAcentral
GAGGCUGAUGUGAGUAGACCACU